Non-coding RNA from Pelobates cultripes (western spadefoot toad), 111 nucleotides. Lineage: Eukaryota; Metazoa; Chordata; Amphibia; Anura; Pelobatidae. The record is from the annotation of a GenBank genome assembly.
CUGACACAAUAUCCAUGGGUGAGGCAGGAGUUUGUAGUUCCCCCUCCCUGCUUCUUACCUGGUCAGGGAGGGGGUACUAAAAACUCCUGCCUCACCCAUGGAUAUUGUGUC